RNAcentral lists this unclassified non-coding RNA (643 nucleotides) under uncultured Prochlorococcus sp. RNAcentral's name for it is "partial 16S-23S ribosomal RNA intergenic spacer; may also contain 16S ribosomal RNA and 23S ribosomal RNA". The stretch from base 302 to 374 matches the Rfam family "tRNA". The record is from RNAcentral. Lineage: Bacteria; Bacillati; Cyanobacteriota; Cyanophyceae; Synechococcales; Prochlorococcaceae.
UUGUGGAGGAGGACGCCGAAGGUGGGGCUAAUGACUGGGGUGAAGUCGUAACAAGGUAGCCGUACCGGAAGGUGCGGCUGGAUCACCUCCUAACAGGGAGACAACAAAAUGUUUAAUAUUAUUUUGUCACCUUAGGUCGAUCGGUAUCUCACGUUUUUAAUUUAUUAAGAAUUUCAUUUCCUAAGUUUUUCUAGGUCACACCCAUUAUUUUUCCUGGGCCAUUAGCUCAGGUGGUUAGAGCGCACCCCUGAUAAGGGUGAGGUCCCUGGUUCAAGUCCAGGAUGGCCCAUAUCUCUAUGUUGGGGGUAUAGCUCAGUUGGUAGAGCGCCUGCUUUGCAAGCAGGAUGUCAGCGGUUCGAGUCCGCUUACCUCCACUGAUUACCACCUCUCGCAUAAUCUAUUAAAAGGAAAUGUUUUGAGUUGUGAUCAAAUUCUGAACGAAUCUAGCUUCCUAAUGAAAUCAUUAAGAUGCUGGACUCAUUGAAUUAAUUUCAUUGUUUUCAGAGAACCUUGACAACUGCAUAGAUUAUUUUUAAAGACAAUAAGCAUUUUUAAUGAUGCAGAUUUAUUAUUUGUGCGAAUGCAUUAAUAACAAUUCUAUUAAGCUGAUGCUUCAAUUUUGAAGUUAUUGGUCAAGCUACAA